This 440-nucleotide ribosomal RNA is filed under the name uncultured bacterium. Its description in RNAcentral is "partial 16S ribosomal RNA". It matches the Rfam family "Bacterial small subunit ribosomal RNA", at positions 338 to 795 of the family's 1533-position model. The record is from RNAcentral.
CCUACGGGAGGCAGCAGUGGGGAAUAUUGCACAAUGGGGGAAACCCUGAUGCAGCGACGCCGCGUGAGUGAAGAAGUAAUUCGUUAUGUAAAGCUCUAUCAGCAGGGAAGAAAAUGACGGUACCUGAGUAAGAAGCCCCGGCUAACUACGUGCCAGCAGCCGCGGUAAUACGUAGGGGGCAAGCGUUAUCCGGAUUUACUGGGUGGAAAGGGAGCGUAGACGGCAGUGCACGUCUGGAGUGAAAGGCGGGGGCUCAACCCCCGGACUGCUCUGGAAACUGUACGGCUGGAGUGCAGGAGAGGUAAGUGGAAUGCCUAGUGUAGCGGUGAAAUGCGUAGAUAGUAGGAGGAACACCAGUGGCGAAGGCGGCUUACGGGACUGUAACUGACGUUGAGGCUCGAAAGCGUGGGGAGCAAACAGGAGUAGAUACCCCAGUAGUC